GAGUUUGAUCCUGGCUCAGGAUGAACGCUAGCGGCAGGCCUAACACAUGCAAGUCGAGGGGUAACAGGAGAAAGCUUGCUUUCUCGCUGACGACCGGCGAACGGGUGCGUAACACGUAUGUAACCUACCUAUAACAGGAGAAUAGCCUACUGAAAAGUGGAUUAAUGCUCCAUAAUAUACAUUAAAGGCAUCUUUUUUGUAUUAAAGCUCCGGCGGUUAUAGAUGGACAUGCGGAACAUUAGCUUGUUGGUGAGGUAACGGCUCACCAAGGCAACGAUGCUUAGGGGGUCUUAGAGGAUGAUCCCCCACACUGGUACUGAGACACGGACCAGACUCCUACGGGAGGCAGCAGUGAGGAAUAUUGCGCAAUGGAGGAAACUCUGACGCAGCCAUGCCGCGUGCAGGAAGAAGGCCUUACGGGUUGUAAACUGCUUUUAUAUGCCAAGAAAACCUAGUACGUGUACUAGACUGACGGUAGCAUAUGAAUAAGGAUCGGCUAACUCCGUGCCAGCAGCCGCGGUAAUACGGAGGAUCCAAGCGUUAUCCGGAUUUGUUGGGUUUAAAGGGUUCGUAGGCGGAAGAUUAAGUCAGUGGUGAAAUCCUACAGCUCAACUGUAGAACUGCCAUUGAUACUGGUUUUCUUGAGUACAAAUGAGGUGGGCGGAAUGUGGCAUGUAGCGGUGAAAUGUAUAGAUAUGCCACAGAACACCAAUUGCGAAGGCAGCUCACUAAAAUGUAACUGACGCUGAGGAACGAAAGCGUGGGGAGCGAACGGGAUUAGAUACCCCGGUAGUCCACGCCGUAAACGAUGAUCACUCGAUGUUGGCGAUAUACUGUCAGCGUCCAAGCGAAAGCGUUAAGCGAUCCACCUGGGGAGUACGGUCGCAAGAUUGAAACUCAAAGGAAUUGACGGGGGCCCGCACAAGCGGUGGAGCAUGUGGUUUAAUUCGAUGAUACGCGAGGAACCUUACCUAGGCUUAAAUGUAGAUUGACGUACUGGGAAACUAGUGUUUCUUCGGACAACCUACAAGGUGCUGCAUGGUUGUCGUCAGCUCGUGCCGUGAGGUGUCGGGUUAAGUCCCAUAACGAGCGCAACCCCUAUCGUUAGUUGCUAACAUUUAGUUGAGGACUCUAACGAAACUGCCCGCGUAAGCGGAGAGGAAGGUGGGGAUGACGUCAAAUCAUCACGGCCCUUACGUCUAGGGCUACACACGUGCUACAAUGGUGAAUACAGAGGGAUGCCAACUGGUAACAGUGAGCAAAUCCACAAAAUUCAUCUCAGUUCGGAUUGAGGUCUGCAACUCGACCUCAUGAAGCUGGAAUCGCUAGUAAUCGUAUAUCAGCCAUGAUACGGUGAACACGUUCCCGGGCCUUGCACACACCGCCCGUC
RNAcentral lists this ribosomal RNA (1390 nucleotides) under uncultured marine bacterium. RNAcentral's name for it is "bacterial SSU rRNA". It matches the Rfam family "Bacterial small subunit ribosomal RNA". The record is from RNAcentral.